RNAcentral lists this ribosomal RNA (453 nucleotides) under uncultured organism. RNAcentral's name for it is "partial 16S ribosomal RNA". It matches the Rfam family "Bacterial small subunit ribosomal RNA", at positions 332 to 801 of the family's 1533-position model. The record is from RNAcentral.
UACACUCCUGCGGGAGGCAGCAGUGGGGAAUAUUGGACAAUGGGCGCAAGCCUGAUCCAGCCAUGCCGCGUGAGUGAUGAAGGCCCUAGGGUUGUAAAGCUCUUUCACCGGUGAAGAUAAUGACGGUAACCGGAGAAGAAGCCCCGGCUAACUUCGUGCCAGCAGCCGCGGUAAUACGAAGGGGGCUAGCGUUGUUCGGAUUUACUGGGCGUAAAGCGCACGUAGGCGGACUAUUAAGUCAGGGGUGAAAUCCCGGGGCUCAACCCCGGAACUGCCUUUGAUACUGGUAGUCUUGAGUUCGAGAGAGGUGAGUGGAAUUCCGAGUGUAGAGGUGAAAUUCGUAGAUAUUCGGAGGAACACCAGUGGCGAAGGCGGCUCACUGGCUCGAUACUGACGCUGAGGUGCGAAAGCGUGGGGGGCAAACAGGAUUAGAUACCCCUGUAGUCCCAUGAU